RNAcentral lists this ribosomal RNA (253 nucleotides) under uncultured bacterium. Its description in RNAcentral is "partial 16S ribosomal RNA". It matches the Rfam family "Bacterial small subunit ribosomal RNA", at positions 524 to 776 of the family's 1533-position model. The record is from RNAcentral.
UACAGAGGUCUCAAGCGUUGUUCGGAAUCACUGGGCGUAAAGGGUGCGUAGGUGGCGUGGCAAGUCAGAUGUGAAAUCCGGAGGCUCAACCUCCGAAUUGCAUCCGAUACUCCCAUGCUAGAGAACUGGAGGGGAGUCUGGAAUUCUCGGUGGAGCAGUGAAAUGCGUAGAUAUCGGGAGGAACACUAGUGGCGAAGGCGAGACUCUGGACAGUUUCUGACACUGAUGCGCGAAUGUGAGGGGAGCAAACGGG